RNAcentral lists this long non-coding RNA (246 nucleotides) under Citrus maxima (pomelo). RNAcentral describes it as "long non-coding RNA (CMAX_LNC004245)". The record is from RNAcentral. Lineage: Eukaryota; Viridiplantae; Streptophyta; Magnoliopsida; Sapindales; Rutaceae.
ACAAUAUAAAAGGAAAAGCAAAAAACCCUAAAUCAACAUAAACAUAAAAUUCCCUAACUCCUAAAUCCAUGGCCAGCCGCCUCAUCUCUCUGGCGAUAUCCUUCUUCUUCUUCAUACCUCUAAAAAUUCUCGUCUUCGAGCCCUAAAAUUCAAGGGUCCAUGCCAUAAGAAAUCCUAACACCACUGCUCAAAUUCUAAGACCCAUACCAUACGAAACCCUAACGAUCUACAUUAUACAAAACAUCC